Punica granatum (pomegranate) is the source of this 2307-nucleotide non-coding RNA. Lineage: Eukaryota; Viridiplantae; Streptophyta; Magnoliopsida; Myrtales; Lythraceae. The record is from RefSeq and is a predicted model, not a curated record.
AAACCCAAUCGAAACCCUAGGCUACAUCAAACCACACCCUUUCUCAGACCGGACCCUUUCUCUCCGUCGUCUUCUCCUCUCUCAACCACACCCUCUGCCGGCAUUGAGCGCCAGCCACGCCCUCCUCUCCAUCAUCUUCUCUUCCUCUGACCACCUAGACCUCGACCUUGAGUCCUUCACUCUACUCUCCCUCUUCUAGCUUGCCGUGGCUUAGCCCCAGCCCCAGCCCCACCUCUCUUCGCAGCCUCAACCCUAGCCUCAACCCCAGCCGUGGCCUCAGCCCCAUCCCCAUCCCCACCUCUCCUCGAAGCUUCAGCCCCAGCCGUGGCCCCGACACCUCUCUACGUCUACUCUGCUCUGUGCGUCUCUCUCUCAUUCUCUCUCUAUGUCUGCUCCGCUCUCUGCUCUGGGGGGGAAGAAGAAGAGGAGUGGAGCUCGCAAGGCAUUGGUUCUCAGGAACCCUAUGUGUGUUCUAAUGCCGGGUGUGCUGCUUUGUUAUUGACUAUGUGAUCGAAGGUUUGUCAGAGAGGCUUAUGCGGAAGGCUCAUUGCACGAACGAAAGAAUUUCAUGAGUCUCAUAAAAGGUGGCUGGUUCGAAGCUAAAUGUAAGUAGGAAAAAAUCAAGAACAAAGGACAAUACCCCUCCCACCAGUUGAGCCCUCCACUGAUGCUCUGGCACCCGAUCCUCUCAUCCCUACUCCGGGAUUCACAUCUAUAGCCCAGGCCGGGACCUGUUCACAUAAGCAGUCAGAUCCUUGGGUCCCUAAUUCGAAACAGCCACCAGUCUCCAAUUCGAGUCAGCCUUCAGUCUCUACCAACCUUUACCGGAAGAUCGACAAUCGCUUGCGAUCACCCCACAAGCGCAACAGGGGGUCGAAGCCCAACAAGGAGCCCCAACACAAUAGAUCCCUACUAACCGAUCGCCUGUAGAAUCCACCAGGGGAACGGUCGUGGACCAGAGGAUCAAAUUGCACAAAAAGUUUCCUAACGGAUUUUGGCCGUCGAAAAAGGGCAUCCGCUCAAUCGUGGACAUACUGACUCAAAGGUUUUACGGGGCUUGGCCUAGAUGGUCCGAUAUCCCUGAUGCAACUAUGAAUUCGUGCUUUGAAAUGUGGGAGAACUAUGUUUGUUGACACCUGUCUUUGGAGGACCACAUGAAGAAGGCCUUCCAUGCUCGAGGGUCGAAGAGUAUGAGGCAACUCAUGACCAAAAUCUGUAAAGAAGGAAAAAGACCGGACUGGAUCUAGGAGGAACACUGGAUAAAGAUGCAAGAACUCUGGCAAAGGAAGAAGUACAGAAGGUUCUGUGAGCAGAAUAAGUUGAAUCAAGCUUCGGCCAGGGGGGUCACUUCACACCGGAGGAUGCAUUUCUCUCGCUACCUCAUGAGAUAAGAUGGAGAAGGCAGAGAAACGAUCGAUUGGGCAAGUGGAGCUAUUCUUGAGACUCCACAAGAGAAGUAAGGAUGGAACCUGCGUGUGCCCACGUGCGGCAAAGGCUUUGUUGGACUACGAGGAGUUGAAAAAGGCUUCUCAAGGGUUUGAUGGAGAUGGUGAUAGCAACCUUGCUGAUGCCGAAAUUUGGGUGAAUGCCAUAGGAGGCACCUCAACCUCUCCGAUAUCCCCAGCUCCGUACGUGCCAUGGAGCAAGAUGCCGAGCGAAUGAGGAAGCACACCUUUCUGUUGGAUGAAGAGAAUAGAUGGCAUGCGAAUGAGAAAUAUUUCGACCUCAGGAAGGAGUUGCAGGGCUUGCUACUAGAGGAGAUAUCCUGACAAGAUAAGAAGAUCAAGAAAUUAUAGGAGAAGAUAAAGAAACAAGAGAAGGCUAAUGACAAGAGGUUUAAGUCCAUGGAGCACAAGAUGGACCGAGGCUUCAUCACAGCUCUGGACCGACUUGAGAACAUGCAGAAGAAGUUGAGGAUUGAUGAUAGAAGCUCCCCGCCGGUCGAUCACGUUGCCCUUCUUGAGGGUAAGGGCAAGGGCAAGGGCAAGGGCAAGCAUAUGAGAGGUUUCUGAGAGGGCAAUGAAGACGACUCCUCUUCCUCUUCCUCUUCUAACGACGAUGAUGUGGUUUUUCCAUACCUCAACCAUGAAGCAGAUGAGGUUUAGUCCUUUCUUAUUUAGUUCUCUUUACAUUUUAUUUGGUAAAACUCGAUAAUAAACUUCGAGUAAACUCGAACUUAGGUUUAUAGCUUGUAUUGUGUUAGUCGGAUCAGAUUGCAUUUUGGAUGUUUAUUCCCAAGUUUGAACCUUUGGAGUGUGCAUUGCAUUUUGGAUAUUAAUAUUAUUGUAUGCAGGUGGCUUUUUGUAA